RNAcentral lists this ribosomal RNA (253 nucleotides) under uncultured bacterium. RNAcentral's name for it is "partial 16S ribosomal RNA". It matches the Rfam family "Bacterial small subunit ribosomal RNA", at positions 524 to 776 of the family's 1533-position model. The record is from RNAcentral.
UACGUGGGGGGCAAGCGUUGUUCGGAAUUACUGGGCGUAAAGGGCUCGUAGGCGGCCAACUAAGUCAGACGUGAAAUCCCUCGGCUUAACCGGGGAACUGCAUCUGAUACUGGAUGGCUUGAGUUCGGGAGAGGGAUGCGGAAUUCCAGGUGUAGCGGUGAAAUGCGUAGAUAUCUGGAGGAACACCGGUGGCGAAGGCGGCAUCCUGGACCGACACUGACGCUGAGGAGCGAAAGCCAGGGGAGCAAACGGG